UACGUAGGGGGCAAGCGUUGUCCGGAUUCAUUGGGCGUAAAGAGCGUGUAGGCGGCCAGGUAGGUCGGUUGUGAAAACUGGAGGCUCAACCUUCAGACGUCGACCGAAACCACCUGGCUAGAGUCCGGGAGAGGAGAGUGGAAUUCCUGGUGUAGCGGUGAAAUGCGCAGAUAUCAGGAAGAACACCAAUGGCGAAGGCAGCUCUCUGGGACGGUACUGACGCUGAGACGCGAAAGCGUGGGGAGCGAACAGG
This 253-nucleotide ribosomal RNA is filed under the name uncultured bacterium. Its description in RNAcentral is "partial 16S ribosomal RNA". It matches the Rfam family "Bacterial small subunit ribosomal RNA", at positions 524 to 776 of the family's 1533-position model. The record is from RNAcentral.